This 322-nucleotide ribosomal RNA is filed under the name uncultured eukaryote. RNAcentral's name for it is "partial 18S ribosomal RNA". It matches the Rfam family "Eukaryotic small subunit ribosomal RNA", at positions 1470 to 1796 of the family's 1831-position model. The record is from RNAcentral.
CCCUUAGAUGUUCUGGGCCGCACGCGUGCUACACUGAGUAAUUCAAUGGGUAAGGGAACGCUAGAGCAUUACCUAAUCUUGAAAUUUGCUCGUGAUGGGGAUCGACGGUUGCAAUUUUCCGUCGUGAACGAGGAAUACCUUGUAGGCGCAUGGCAUCAUCAUGCGCCGAAUACGUCCCUGCCCUUUGUACACACCGCCCGUCGCUCCUACCGAUUGAGUGAUCCGGUGAGGCUCUGGGACCUGGACGGAAAGAGCGUUUCGCUUGUUCUGUUUGGGAAACUUGGUCGAACCUUAUCAUUUAGAGGAAGGAGAAGUCGUAACA